UCUCCUGCUCCUUGCCGCCGCCUCCCCUCCCUUCUCCCUCUCCUGCUCCCCAACAGCGCCUCUCUCUCUCUCUCUCCUGGUGCCUUCUUCCUGGCGGCGCCCCUCACCCCUCCGCGCGGCACGGGACGACGUGGAUCCGGCGGGCUUGCUCGUGGCGUGGCUGGCAGCGGCUGCGUGCGGGAGACAGGCGCGGCUAGCAGUGACUGCGCUGCGCACGCGAGGGGGAGAAUGCUCGGGGGAGGCGCGACGACCUCUUCUGUGUUCCUCCCCAUGAAGACCCGCGCCGAGCAUUGGCCAAGUGGGCUCUGUGCCUCCGGCACCCACCACUCCAGGAGAGCCUCCGUCUCCGGAUCCGCGUCGAGGCAUCCUCAGUGACAGCAAGGCCAAGGAAAGGGGAUUUCUCUUGAUUAAAUCCGUCCUCUACUCAGGCAAGUUAUUGAUCGGAAAUGUUCCCUACCUCCCUUCCUGUCUCCUUGCAGCAGGAAGGGGGAUUUCGUUUUGAUUGGAUUCAUUCUCUCCCUGAAAAAAAUAAUAGAUCUGAAAAUUUCUUCAUUGUGGAUGUAGGCUGCUCAUCGAUCUUGGACUUAGGUGUUAAUUUGUUGUAAAAAAAAUUGAAGCUCUAACCUUGUAUAUGCCAAACUGAUUUAUUCAGCGCAUUAGAUUUUUCCUGAUGUUUAAUUUUUUUCCUUGAAAAUUUAGAUACAUAUUUUGCACUCUUCUGGGUCACGUAGAUUGAUUGCAGGAGCUUAAAUGGAGGAAAUUGUUAAUGUCUUUUUGUGCUGCGGCUGCAUACGCAGUUUAUGUACUGUGAUCAAAUUGAUCGGUCAACAAUAAAAUCAAUAUGGUCAACAAUGUGUUCAAAUAAUAUAUUAGUCUGUUUAAAUAUGAUAUUAGUAUCUAGGUUGAUAUGAUGUGGAAAAAUACAUUGUUUAUACACAUAACAGAGUCCUCAUCCCUCGCCUACACUCACUAUCGGCCCAAAGACAAGUGCCCCUUCCUCCCUUAUCUACCUACUCUGUGCAUCUGUCUGGUUCAGAGCCUCCUCAAUCCCACUCCUGUUCCAUCUGUCUGGUUCAGAGCCUCCUCAAUCCCACUCCCCUUCCAAACACUUGGGCUGCUGUUUCCUCUCUUUGCUCCUCUAGCCUACCAUUCCCCCGUGUAGAUUAGCAAGCCCUCACCCUUUGCUUCCACUUUUGAUCUUUGUGUCUGCUUUUGUUUUGGCCUGAUCUUAAGAUUUUUCCUUUGCCUGUAGAGUUGCUGCACAUGAGAUGGUGUUUGUGACCUGUGAGAAGGAAGGUGCCAUAACUAGGAACAAUUACUUGUGUUUCUUGUCAUCGUUUUCAGAUGUUUUUCCUAUGAUUUGCCCACCAAAAAAUAGCAUAUUUUUCUGUUUAGAGGCCUCCUAUCUUUGAUCUUGUGAACUGUAUCUUUUACUUCAGAUUGUACUUUUCCUUGUGCGUGCGGGAAGGAUUGUGAAUCGGAGCAAAAAGAUUAAAAUUUUUCCAUGUUGCUUUACUUUGAUUCUUCGCUGAAUCAAGCUCUUUUUUCAUUCACUGAGUUUGCGCUUUCAUAAUCCAGAGUCUUGGUUUAGAGAA
Long non-coding RNA from Panicum virgatum (switchgrass), 1595 nucleotides. RefSeq lists it as uncharacterized. NCBI's taxonomy places the organism in Eukaryota, Viridiplantae, Streptophyta, Magnoliopsida, Poales, Poaceae. The record is from RefSeq and is a predicted model, not a curated record. The transcript has 2 exons.